RNAcentral lists this transfer RNA (141 nucleotides) under Candidatus Peregrinibacteria bacterium. RNAcentral's name for it is "tRNA-Thr". Lineage: Bacteria; Candidatus Peregrinibacteriota. The record is from RNAcentral.
GCCGUUGUAGCUCAGUGGUGCGUCGAACAACGUGAGACGCACACAUAAAAAAACUCUGCCGCGCAGCGGCACGUCCAUGGUAAGGACGGGGUCAUGGGUUCAACCUGCCUGCCGGCAGGCAGGUCCCCAUCGACGGCUCCA